This 26856-nucleotide long non-coding RNA is filed under the name Panax ginseng (ginseng). RNAcentral's name for it is "long non-coding RNA (PGIN_LNC010358)". Lineage: Eukaryota; Viridiplantae; Streptophyta; Magnoliopsida; Apiales; Araliaceae. The record is from RNAcentral.
CUAUUAGAACCUAAACCUGGUUCAAGUGCAUCUAGUUAAAUUAGACAAAUCAAUCUCCUUUGAUGUAAUUGAACUUUAUCAAUCUAGUAGCACGUAACCUUUACCGUGUGUCCUUAACCUGCAAAAGUGGUUAUUUGCAAGGGUGAGCGUGACAGCCCAACAAUUCUAACAGUUUUCAUGUAGCACAUAUCAUAUAAUAGCAUAUUCAGUUCAUGCAUUCAUAAUCAAUUAAUAUUAACUACGCAUGUUACUUCACACAUAACAUGCAUAGAAAUUUACUUCACAAGCAUAUCAUCAAAGAUCAACUUUCAAAUUUCAUACAUAGCUCAUAUGCAUUUCAUAUAUAUACAUCAACAUUCUCAUAGCAUAAUAUAGCUCAACUAACAAUUAUGGAAUUUAUAUAUCAAAUAGGAACUGAAAGACUUGCCUGAUUCGUAGUUUAUGAACUACGACUUAACUGCUUAACGCUUUAAAUGCACUCCGUGUAUUCCUAUACAGUUAUAUAAUCAUGGAUUUAUAUCCAUUAGUCACAUAUUUCAUACAUUCUUAAAAUAAUAAUGUUACAUUGUUCUCUAACUAGGUUCGUAACACCUACAUUUCGCUUUCUCAUCAUACUCUUAGAAUAGCUAGGUAUGUAUAGGUAUACCUAACCAUCCGUACUUGACAUCAACAUUCAUAUACAUUUAUCACGCACUUGACUCGCUAUGUGUUCGGCACAUAUUUAAAGUUUAUAGAUACGUGAUCUACGUCGUUCAUAUUCAAACUACUUAGUUUCAUGAUGAUUUAUUUCAAGCAAUAAAGCUUAACAACUUUCUUUAACAAGAUUCGAUGAUAUAAGAUUUUAAACCAUAUAUUGGUACUAAUAAGCCUCUACUAGUAUGCUUCACAUAGACAUAGCAUAGUUCAUUAUUUGAAGACGUAUUUUAAACCACACUUGAAAGGUCCAAUUCAUGCUUAGCUAAAUGAUCAACAUAUUCGUCAUGUCUAGGGGCAUAAGGCGUUCAAGUUCACUUUUUAAAAGUAAUUCUAGGCCAAGUUAAAGCAACUAGGUACCACUUUUAAUCUCAUUUCAUAGCUAACUAGGACAUGUAUAUAUGUUAUCAUGUUUAGAACUUUAAGUCCACAAGUUACUUUAAGUUCGUCCCUCUUAGUUUCACAACUUCAAAAAUUUAUUCUCAAAGUCAAUGUCAUACUAAACUAAUCAUGCAAGGCAACUUCAAUUCACACAUCAUACUUGUUUGUACAUGUUUCUACGUACGUUUCCAAGGGCAAAAUAUAACCACUCCAUGUUUAUAAAACUUUGUUUGCAAAUGAUAUAUGAGCUUGCCUUUGAAAUCAUUUUAACCAAAUCAAAGUAAUCUAACACACCUAUGAUACAACUUUGAAUCUUACAUCAUGCGUACUUAGACCUCAUAUAUAUGUUAUCAAGGUUAGAAUUAGAGGUACACAAGUUCGUCAAAGUUUGUUUUCAAAAAUCUUUAAGUUUCUUUUGAAAACACAUACGAAGUCAUGAUAAAGCAUUUCCACUAUAAGUAAGGUAAUCUUAUAUGGCAUGUCUAAUAUCAUCCAUUUUCAUGUUACAUCACUUAGAAUAACAUAUUCCAUCGUCGGGAGCACUAUACUUGCGCAUGUGCUCGCUCGACGCCCUCCGAUGGCCUUCGAUUACGUAACAGUCACAAAGAUGACUAUUUUGACCCUUUCUAAUGACCUCAAUUUGACAAACUUAAAGAACAAAAGUUGUAGGUAUAUUCGUUCUCUUUCUGGAUCAUCUUGAAUCUCAUCAAUCGGAGUUUGUAUGAAACUGUUAUGCCCAUUUUAGUAAAAUAUGUUCUGUCAGAUUUUUUUUCAACCUUUACAAUCAAACCACCCCCGUCGGGGUGGGGGUCUUGCCCUAUAAAUAGCCCGCCGGGGCGGGCCUAGCUACUGUAAAUGCACGGUUUCAUGCUCUGCUACAAAAUAACAAGCCAAACUACUUUCUAACCUUCAUAAUUUGAGUUAUACAUGUCCAAAUUAGUCCGUUUUCGAUUCUAUGGAUUCGUAAUUCAUAGAACUACAACAUACUAUAAUACCCAUCAACUAACAUAAACAUUAACUAACCCAAAUAUGAAUCUAUAACUCAUGUUCAUGCAAAUGUUCAUGUUUUGGACAAUUUAGCGAAAUCAUUCACUAUGAAUUCGUUUCUAAACCAAAUUGGUUCGUUUAACUUCCGUUGAUUUUGUAUUCAACCAUAUUAACAAUUUCUAGCAUCAAUUCAUGGAUUAUAACAACCCUUAGCCAUCAAUUUUAUGACUCAAAAGCUACUUUUUCUAAGAACUUUGUAAAACUUGAAUUUAAGAACACAUAGAGGGAUGUUACCUUCUUAAUGCUUGAUUGGCUAACUAUUGCUCUUCAACCUUCCAAUCUCAGAUUGCUCUCACUAAUGGCAACUCACUCUUAAUAGGAAGCUUACCAAAAUAACUCAGCAAAUGGAAAUGAGAAGGAUGAGUCCCCAUUUAUAGAGAAAUCAUUGUCCAUACAAUGAUUUUGCCCAACAAUCUAAACCAAGAGGAAGAAGAAGAAGCCAUUGGAUUGAAGGAGUUUGGUGGAAAAUCAAAUCAACCCACUCCCCUCUUCAUCAUUUGGAAGCUAUGGAUUUUGGAGAAGAAGAAGCAAGCUAGCUUCUAGCCUUUUUGCAUUUCACGUGAAUGAAGAAUGACUCUCAAUUUGGGACACUACUCUUAAAACUCAGCAUUUCAUAUUACUAUUAGCAUACUUAGGUUUAUUUGAUAUUUUUCCCCAAAUGUGCAUACAUAUACACCCACUCACAUAGAAUUAUAUAAUCCAUGUACAUUUGAUUAUUCCAAAUAAUAUUUACAUUAGACUAUAAUAUAACUUAGUUGGGCACCAAUAUUGUUUUCCAUAAAAUUUAUCAUCUCAAAUAUACCCAAUUAUCAUAAUGAUAAUUAAUAUCAAUUAUUUAUGAACUCACCAUUUAUUUUCCCAUUAAAUCCCCAUUUGAUUUAACUUCACUAGUUAUGCCACACAAGACAUAAUUAUGUGAACUUAGUAAUUAAUAGCUCACAAGCUUAUAAUAAUAUAAUCUCACAAAAUAACAUUAUUCUUAACUUUACAUCUUAUAAUAUGGUCAUGGAAGUGGUCCAUUGCACCAUGUUACAUUUUAUUAUCUCACUUGUACAUAAUGCUAACAUACAAGCCUUUAUACAUAUAUAUUCAAAUACUUCCUAUAUUAUAUAGUUACCAUUGAAGUGUUCUACUUCAUUUCAUAUCAUAUAGAUGUAGCUACUAUAUAAUAUAAAACCAUUGCACAUACAAAUUUAAUUCCUUCAAUUAUUCAUUCAUUAAAUUAUUUAAUGAAUGCUUAUUCCAUCACUUUGCCACACUAGGCAUAUCACACAAGCUUACAUUAAGCUUAUUACUUAUUCUCAUUACUUAUUCAUUUCCCACCACAUUACUAUAAUCAAAAUUAUGUACUUCUCCAUAACAUAAGAUGUUUUUAUCAUGUUUUCUCUAAAUAUAAGAACUAAUCAUAAUAACACGAUUUACUCAUUUUCGCAAGAUAUUAUUCUUAAUAUAAUAUCUUUGUAUUAUUAAAAUAUUUACAUGCACGACACACGUACACACUAUAUAUAGAAAAUAAGUUUAUUUCCUAUUAUGAUAAAUUGUUUCCAUCAACUUAUAUAGCAAAUAUGUUUUAAUAUAUUUACCACAUUACUUAAUCACACACAUUUCCUCGUACAAAGCUAUAUAAGGUAAUAUCAAAAUAAUAUUCCCCCUUUUAUUAAAAUAAUCAAAUGCUAGAAUUUAUUUUAAUAUCCUUUAGUAGAAAUAUACUAUAAUUAUUUCUCUUCCACCAAAUCACAUAAUUCAAGGUAUAUAUAUAACAUAUAUACAUUCCUUUAAUCUUCCCUUCUCGCCGUGUAUCAAAUUACUCAAUAAUUCUCUAACCACUUUAAAGGUAUAUCGAUUUUCUUCUCUCGUCAACAACGUACAUAUAUACAAGUCUAAACCUAGCACGCGCCGAGUCUUUAAUAGUAUUCAAUAUAGUACGCUGAGUGGUUUCCCACAAACAACCAACAAAUUAGUUUUCGUCUCGUCUACACUAUUUUCACAGUGAGUUAGAUCAGUCACUAAUUCGUAUAUACCUCCGCUCUCUGAAGGAAUCGUUUAGCCCAGCUCCUAUACAUCCACCAUUAAAGAGUAAGGUUGCACUGCCUUAGACUUGAUACUUACUCGUACCAAUACUCAAGAAAUUGGUGAUUAUCACAAAUAUUUAAUGUCACCAACUUACUAUUAUAAAAUAAUUUCACAUAAAUUAUUAAUAUCAAUAGAUAAUUUUUAUCCAUCUUCUUACUAAUUUAUCUUUACAAUUCAUAAUAAAUAUAUAAUAAUGAUAUAUUUAUUAAACACAUAAAUCACUUAUUGCAUAGUUUAUAUUACCCCAUUCAACACCAUUCCAUAUACCUCACAACACAUAAAUUCUUAUUCGAACCCUUCUCAUGCCUUAAGAAUUUUAUUUACUAAAUUCUUAUUUUAAUAAUUUCUAAAAAUUCGGGUUCUUACAUCUGCUACAGGGAGUUUAGAGAUUUUGGGGGUGUCACAAUAUCCAUCAAAUAGAUUGCAAAGAUCUGGGAACCAAUUUCCAAAAGCUCGCGAGAGUAACCUUAGAUAUGUUAGCUUUAGAAAAAUCUAACGAACGUGAAGUUUUCUCCAUGCCCUAUUACUCCUUUAUAUGUACAAAUGACAUACAUACUAACUUGCAUCCUAUAUCUUACUAUCCUGUAAUUAAAACAACUGACCCCAGUUUUCCAAAAAAUGAUUAAAAUACAUCAAAACCCGAUGUAUAACAUAUCAUGCAUCCACACUUUCUGCCAAUAUCAAAACUAAAAUAUGUAAAUGUUUAUGUGCAAGAUUGGACCUAAAACUCGAUCUCAAGCCAAGAAGGCACCACCGUUGCUUAUUAAGAUGGCUGGAAAUAGCACCUCGGAACCUAUACCCAUAUCUCAGGAGGAAUUUAAGGAUUUUAAGAGACAGAUCGCGGAGAUAGCUGUUCUAUUAAAAGAGCAGAGUAAAACAGCUCUAGAACCUAAAAUGUAAACUCAACAUGAGUGCUCUACUCAGAAAGACAGUCAAACAUCUAAUAAAGAAGGUGGUUGUUAUACCCAUUCAUGUGGAACAACCCAACAUCGGCUCCAACAAGGAGACUAUACACAAAAAUAAAGCAAAAGAAAUGACAGACCUUCGGGAAGACAGAGAAACUGGGGAUAUCCGAAGAAAAGUCGGACAGAUGGAGGAGACUAUCCGAUCCAUUAGAGGGACUGGCUCCCACGGAAGUGUAAACUUCUCUGACCUCUGCAAAUUUCCAAGGACCGUCUUCAAAUCUUGAUCCAAGUAUUGGAAGAGGCACACUUGCCUAAAUCUAUCAACACAGAAUAGUUUGAUCACCUGAUCAGCCAUGUGCUAGACAAUAACAUGAUCUCCUUCACCGACGAUGACCUUCACCGACAAUGACAUACCGGCUGAGGGAAUCGGUCACCGCAAACCUUUACACAUAACGGUUAUAUCGCCAGGCUAUGUUAUAGGAGGAGUCCUAAUUGACGGCGGCUUUGCCUUAAAUAUAUGCCCUUAUGACACCCCGGAAAGAAUGAAAAUCAAUGCUAACAGAAUUUGGGUCAAUCAUGUCGUUGUCAGAGCUUUCGACGGGUUAAGGAGAGAUACCCUAGGAGAGAUUAAACUUCCUAUGGGAAUCAGCCCGUACACCUUCAGUGUGUCAUUCCAAGUGCUGAACAUCUCCAUAGUGUAUAACAUGUUGGGAUUACCAUGGAUACACAUGGCUGGGGCAGUACCCUCCACUUUCUAUCAAUAGUUGAAGUAUAUAAUCAAUGGUAAUUUUGUCACUGUCAGCUCUGAGGCUGAACACACUACCCAAGCACAGGGAGAUAUGCCAUUGAUUGGUUUAAACGAGGGUAUCGAGCCCGCCAGCUUCCAAGCCUUUGAAUUAAGCACCCCUCACUACCAUUCUAUUUGGGCACCGGUGAUGAAACCCUAGAUAUCCCCAGAAGUAAUGACGCUUGGCCGCAAAAUGCUCGAUCAUGGGUAUCAGCUAGGUCAAGGGCUGGGUAAGAAUUCCCAAGGAAGCAGGAACCCAAUCCAAAUACCUACUCAGUCAUGAAAGGCCAAAUUGGGCUACUCCGGUGGUUUUAAACACCAUAAUCCCCAUAAAAGAAGAUUGUAAACCACGAACUAAUUUCCAUCAUAUCAAACCUCAUUGAGGCGGGCUUUAAAGAACCCAGCAAAGUGAUAUCACCCAAGGUGUCGAGCAUGUUAAUUCCUUGAGUUAGCCUCAUGAACACAGGAAAGGUUAAAGAGGUGGAGAUAUCGGUAGUGGAUGCCGAGAUCAAAAGCUUUUAAAAGAAAUGCGGUUGCAAUUUAUGUACAAUUUAAACCUCACCGAGGGUGAUGCAAAGGACCCUUCGGCAUAUGGUUCAUCGAGUAGUCAACCAAUUUUCCCCUUUAUUAAUGGGGCAGAAAUGAACGUCCCCAAGGAAGAUCUCAAUGAUAGGUCAAAACCCGCGAUGGUUAUUAUGAGGAAGGACGACACCCCUAAUGGAACAUCUAUCUUGGCCAUCCCCGAGGAUGUGACCAUUGUAAGGACCGAGAAUUUUAAACAAUUAUAUUUUUCUAAUAGUUUUUUUUUUAUUUUUUUAUUAUCAGUAUUUUUAUUAUUAUUAUUUUGAGCAUGUGUGAUAUGGAUUUAGCAUGUUAGUCAGUUUAUUUAUAUUAAAUUGACUAAGAAAGGUAAUGAAGGGCAAACAUGAAUAGUUGAUCAAAACCCUAAUUUGAAUAGGGGUUCACUACAAAAAAACGGGGCUUCAGCAACAACCGAUUUUCAUUGCUAAAGGUGCCAAAUUUCGUUACUAAAGGUUUUUGGCAACGACUUUACUGUCGUUGCGUCUUUCGUUGCAUAAUGAGCAUUGCUAAUUGUUCCGCAACGAACGUAUUUUUUUCGUUGCCAAAAGUAAUACAUUUUGCAACGAAAUUUGGCUUUCGUACAGAUACAUCGAUCCUUUAGCAACAAAAUGUAUUGUUGCAGAAUAAUUAAAAUUUUGUUGCUAAAAACUCCAUUUCGUUGCAAAAGCCUGCUAAUUGGCAACGAAAUGAGCUCUUUUUUUUUGCAACGACUAUGCAUUUUCGUUGCAAUUGACACCAUUUUGCAACGACAUUUUUUGUUGCAGUAAAUUAUGAAAAUUGUUGCCUAAGCUUGCUUUCGUUGCGAAAUGUAAACUUUUUAGCAACGAUUUUCGUUGCUAAUUAUAUUAUUUGGCAAUGACAUUAUGCUGAAUCAGCAACGAAAAUGUUUGUUGCUGGUUAUUUUUCAAUAGCAACGAAAGUCAUCGAUUAGCAACGACAUUAUAUGUUGUCGUUUCUUUAUAUGUGCAACGAAAGUUGAUAUGAUUUGCAACGAUAAAAAAUGUUGCCUUUUAUUUUAAUAUUAGCAACAAUAUCAUAUCCGUUGUUAUUAGGUUAAUUUUUCGUUGCCAAAUAUUAUAUUUUAAUGUCAUUAGCAACGAAAAUUUGUUGCUAAAUGUAUAAAAAAUUGUUGCUAUAUUAAAACUUGUUCAAUGCUUUGGUAAUGAAUUAUAUUGUUGCCAAAUCAAAAUCUGACAUUCUUUUUGUGUACCUGACUGGCUCAAUGUCCACAUAGCAAAUAAUGACAAAAAUACAAAAAAAAUAAAAUAUUAUUAACUUAAUAAAAUCAUCCACUACAUAAUCAUUCAUUAUCUUUACAAUUAACAAUCUAAAGCUGCCACAGUUGUUCAAUCAAAGUAUAUAUCUACAUAUAUAGAGAGUACACUUCAUAAUUUUGUCCCUUGUCUUCCGUAAACAUAGCACGAAAAAUUUGAUACCCAGAAUUGUGCGGCAGGUCGUAGAAGCAAUCUUCAUGCACAUAUUAAAAAAUAAUAGCAAGUCAGGAAAAUGAAGCAAAUAGUCACCAGAAUCUGCCAUUCAAAACAGACAAACAAAUAUCAUCUCUUAGAUUGAGAAUUGACUAAGCUCCCUUUUUUAAAAAAAUUACUUAAUUUCAAUAUGAUCUGAAGAUGCUACCAAAAAAUAUUUUUUCGAAUGAAGUAUAUCUAUAUACACAGGCUGAACACCAACAAAUACAUGCAGCGCAUAGAUCAGAACAAAGAAGGAUGGCCUUCUACAACACUCUUAGACUACAGCUGUAAAGGUACCCAGCUAAAUAAGUACCUAAGUUGAGCCUGUAUCAUGGUUAUCAAUGAAAGUAACAGCUCUUGAAGGCCACCAGCCCAUCACACCAGGUGGUUUCCUUGCAGGAUCCCGCAGACGCCAUAAUUCCCCCUCCACAGAUUCCUAAAUGACGAUAUAUAGAUGUAUGAUGAUAGAAGGUUGAGAUUUUUCAGAGAAAAAAUAAAUUUACAGGCAGUUAAAUAUAAAGUACCUGAAGAAUUCCUUUUGUUGUGAAGUCAAAGGCCGUUGAAAGUUGCCCUGCCCCAUCAAUCCAAUUUAUAAUUAGUUGUCUAUGACUAUCUGCAUGUAGAAUUUAUUGAAAAAGGAAAAAUAGAUUAGGAGAAUGAUAAAACUGUCAUCUAUACGCAAGUGUUUAAAAGCUUGGGUAAAUAUGUUUCAACUGAAACAAUAAAAUGACCACUAAUAACCUCAUGAAACUCAUCGUUGAAAUGAACUAAACAGCAAUUACUUCAAAAGUUGUCUAACAAACAUCAAUUUGUUUUCAUGAAUGUAAGUAUUGUAACCUCGAUCAAUUUGGACCUUGCAACCUCGAUCCAACAGACUCGCGCACAACAUUGUCAUAAUGUUGAACCACUGCUUGAUUUAGAAGCCACGUAGCCCAUCCGAAUUCAUGUGCAAGUAGUUCACCAGCAACGGCCAUUCCACCAAUUCGGAUGAAUCCUUCCCUGUUUAUUUUAUGAUUUUUUUGGGUGAAUCUAUGCACAAAUUUUAAGAUUUGUUGAAAACACAUACCCAAAAUAUUAUUACGAUUUAUGGAUAAGUUAUAUACCAAUUAUAUUUUUAAACAUAUUUGUAAUAUAGUUGUAUGAAAAUAAAAUAUAAUUGUAUAAUUGAGAAGUAUAUGAAAAUUUAACUCCUAUUUGUUUCUGUCGUGCCUUAAAAGUGGUGACGAAAUACAUCAUAGAAAAUAUCGACAAGGGUAAUGUGACGCCCCCAAAAUUAGGUAUACAUCACCCAUCUUGAGUCGCCAGAUACAUGGUACAUAAUUCAAAUACAACUUAAUAAUACAACUGCCGUGUACAAUACGACAAAACAUAAACUGUGAGUUUGAAUACAAAUAUUGUCUACUAGAGAUUACACAAACUCAAAAGGAGUCUUCAUUACAAUUAUUAUCAUACUAUUUCACAGAAUAGUGAGGACUACUAAUGCANNNNNNNNNNNNNNNNNNNNNNNNNNNNNNNNNNNNNNNNNNNNNNNNNNNNNNNNNNNNNNNNNNNNNNNNNNNNNNNNNNNNNNNNNNNNNNNNNNNNNNNNNNNNNNNNNNNNNNNNNNNNNNNNNNNNNNNNNNNNNNNNNNNNNNNNNNNNNNNNNNNNNNNNNNNNNNNNNNNNNNNNNNNNNNNNNNNNNNNNNNNNNNNNNNNNNNNNNNNNNNNNNNNNNNNNNNNNNNNNNNNNNNNNNNNNNNNNNNGCUUUGUAGAGUAAAAUUCAAGAAUGCUCAGAAGAAUAUUUCCAUGAAAAGAUACUGGAUGAAGCGCAAAUAUCAAGGAUAUUCCACUAAUUUCAUGGAGUAUAGAAGUCAAAGUUUUAACCAACUGAGUAUAAUAAAGAAGGGAACCAGGUCCGGCGUAAACGCACAGACAUGAUAUUCCGACAGAAUAAUAAAUAAUGGAACCAGGUCCGGCGUAAACGCACAGACAGGAUAUUCCGACAGAAUAAUAAAGACGGAACCAGGUCCGACGUAAAACGCACAGACAGGAUAUUCCAACAGAAUAAUAAAGAAUAGAAUAACAGGAGAAUUUCACCAAGUAUAGGGUAGCCCGCGUAUACAGGUUAUUCCAACAAAAUAAUAAAGAAUGAAAUAACAGAAGUUCUCUUCAUGAAUACAAAAAAAAUAAUAGUCCCUACGGGUACAACAAAUAAUAUUCUAUACCUUAGAAAGAAGAGUACUGGAUAUAGAAGUAGUGAAGUAACAUAAUACUUUUCUUUUUUCUCUCUAUAGUUUCUCUCUCUAGAGUUUCAGUGAAUUCGUAAGAAAUAAUGAAUGAAUGAACUUCUAUUUAUAGAAAAAUGGACUGCAUAGUAACUAACUCAUGAACGGUCCAGAUUGAUUUACUUUAAUCUGAUGGUCCAUAUUUAAAGCAAAUUCUUUUAAAUAAAAUAUAAUAUAUUCUAUUUAUAAUCUAAUAAAACGAAUAACUUUAUAAAAGAUUUUACUAUACAAAUACUAUGUAUAAUAAAAUAUAAUAUAUUCUAAUUAUUGUCUAAUAAAACAGAUAACUUUAUAAAAGUAUUCUGUUUUAUAUAAAAAGAUUUUACUAUACAAAAUACUAUGCAGACACUAUGCAACACUAUGCAUAAUAGAAUAUAAUAUAUUCUAUUUAUAGAAUAACUUUAUAAAAGUAUUAUGUUUUAUAAAAAAGUUUUUUUGUUUUAUUACAUUAAUAAUACCAAUAAAACAAAACUGAGUGACUUAUCACAUAAGCAUCUAUAAUUAAUACCGUGUGCUACUAUGCAACCACGCGUAUUACUGUACUUUUACUACCGAGUAGUUCAAAAGUAUUAACGGUAAAACUUCCGCCGUUAUUUUCAUAAAAUAUUUUUGUCGUUUUCUCAAUCCGACAAUAAUUUCGUUGUGGGGUCCACCAAUGAUUAUACCGUCAUACGAAUAUUCUCUGACAAAAAGAAUAUUCCCCGACCAAUCGAAUAUUAUACAAUCACUUGCUUACUUUGCAAAAUUUGUAAAUAUUACCCACAACUAUAACAUUACAUCAAAUCAACACCAUAAUAUAAAAAAAAAUUAUUUCGAGAAAAUUAAACCUUUAUUCAUAAAAUCUGGGGUCUCACAGGUAAGAUCCUUCGUAUUACAUCCAAUGGAAUGAGGAUCAAAAUCUAUGGCCUGUGAAGCUAUAAAGAUAAAAGAAAACACACACAACACAGGAUAAGAACUGUAUAGCUGACAAAGAGGUUACCUAAACCAUUUCACAAGUCAAAAGUAACUACUAAAUACACACUGUAUCCAUCCAUAGACUGCUAACCUAAUUCAGUAGCUAUAAGGAACAUACUAUUUUACCACAACCCCUUAUUUAUACGGUAUUAUGUUUCCAUGUUAGACUUAUCAACUUUUGGUCAAUUAUGUGUGUAAUUACAUCAAUGUCAGCCUAACCAUCUCAUGUUUGAAAAAGUAAAUGAAAGAUUCAGGUUUUAGCAUCUGAUCUGGAAUGGAUUAAGUCAAAAUAAUGUGCUUCGCCACAUAUGUCAUCCAAAAUCCAAACAAAACAUUCCAUUUAAAAAAAUAGAUCAUAACAUACACAAUUAUUCCUACAAAAUAAUUAAAGAACUUCAAAAACAUUUGAACAUUAUCAACAAACUACAAGCAUAGAGUAUUUUAAUAUGAUAAUUUGCAACAUUGAGGGGGAAAGUAAGCAUCAAGUAAACCAUUUGCUACUUGCAGCAGAAUACAACAAUUAUACAAUUACACAGAUUAUAACAUGCACAGGAACAUAAAUUAUUUUUAGCGGGGUGUGGAGAAGAAAAAAAGAGAAGUAAUUUAAAGAAAUUGCUUGGACAAAAAAAUUGCAUCAUCUAAACAUAGACAACCUGAAGGAAGUCAUUAAGUUAGUGAAAAUGAAGAAAUUAUACAACAAAGCUUUUAAGUUUUAAAGAGUUGAGAGUAGUUGGUUCCACAAGCAAAAAUUUAACAUGGUCAAAAGGAGUUCAAAUGGAUCAACUCAAAGUUUGGCCCAAACAAAUCAUAUCUCACCGUCAAGCUACAUGUUAAUAUGUAAUAUUCAUGGCUUCCAAAUCCUAUAGUUUAAGACAAAACCUACUAUAGUAAUAUUACAACACUUUACUUUCCACAAUAUGGAGAAAAUUAUUAAAUUUAGUCCAUUCAGUAACUUGCAUAUUUUAAUAACACAUAAUAGUACAUUAUUUGACAAUAAAUCAAUAGUUAAGCACCAACGAGAGAUCUACAUAUAUGCCAUAUUUUAACAGACCUUAAAUUUGCUUUUAUCUGUUGAUUGCACUCGGCACACUAACCCAGCCUCCGCUUCAUUUUCAGUUAUUGUAACUGAAUAAAAGUGAGCACACCGCUUUUCAACCUGGAGAAAUAGAAAAGGAUCCAGAUAAACAGGCCUUUUCUGUGGAAUUAAAUCCCAAAGAACAUGACAAUACCUUACCUUUCUAAUAGUGGUUGCUAAUGAGUGGGAUUUAUACCCGCGAUUUAGUCCUUUUUGUUGCUUAGGUUGUUGCCUAUUUUCAAUCUUUUAUGUAGUUUUUCUAUAUUUAUUUUAGUUCUUGAAGGUUCAAAUGAUCUACAGGCUGGUCUUGCAAAUUGUGCAGUUUCUUGGUUAUUUUCCUUUGCUUGCGCCCCAACGCCAGGAGUCGCGCCCCAGCGCCAUGGCCAGCGCCAACUUCGCGCCCCGACGCCCUCUACGGCGCCCCAGCGCCAAUCCCAAGGCAAAGCUUCUGACCUUUUGCGCUUUGUUUGGCCUGUAUGUUGCGCCCCAGCGCCAUGGCCAACGCCAGCUUCGCGCCCCGGUGCCAUCUACGGCGCCCCAGCGCCAUCUUUCGCGCCCCGGCGCCAGUGACAGUGCUUAGGCUCACGCCGCAGCGCGAGCUCCGGUUCCCAAACAGUAAACUCUUUUAAUGACCUAGAUAAAAGAAGGGGGCAUAUAAAUAGAAAGUGAACGCUGCAUUUAAGGAGACCAGAGGGAUUUAAUGGUCUGUUUUUCUAGAAGAGAAAGAAGCUCGUGAAGGGAAGACGAGUUAUUGCACCUAGCAUAUAACUCAGAGUUCUACUCGCGAAGAGAAGAUUUGGUGCAAGAACAUUUCAACAGCGGUUUUCUUAUUCCAAAUCUCCCAUUUCUUGUAUUUGUCUGAUAAUGUGUAAUGUAUUAAAAAUGCGUGUUAGUAUCAUAGUUAUGAACUAACUCCAUUUUUAGGAUUGCAAUGUAACCUUCUGAUUUACUUGAUCAACUUUCUCUCUCAUUUUAUAUAAUGAAUCAGUUGGAUGGGUUGUUGUAUUUUGUAUUUAAUGUCUGAUUGCUUGAUAAAGGAAUUGGUAUUGAUAGUGAUGGAAAUUGAUAAAUGGAUAUUACUAUCUUUCUUUAAAUACAACACCACCUGUUAUGACCAUGACAUUGGAAUGUGUGCAUAAUGUGCUAAUAGGAUAGACAUUCUUAUUUGCCUUGUGUGACCUUGAGACUUAGCUUAAUGACAUUGACCUAGUUAGUGUCACCAAUAGACAUAUUGUGUUCUAGCUGGUUAGGGAUGUGCAUUUGACCUUCGACAGAAGCUUAUGCAUAUUAAUGUUCUCGGUUGGCCAUUCCUUGAUUCGUUUGUAUUAUGGAGAAUUAGAAGAUUAGGUGAAGCAUUAGGGGAGUUGUAAUCCUUUCUUAACUUCCUAGCACAACUACUUCUCUAAAUUUUAUAAUCUUGUUGAAAUAGCUUAACCAACCAUUUGUUUCACUCGUUUAGAUAAGAUUAGUAACGAUUUUACCUUAGUAGUUAUUUUCUAUUAAGACUUCGUCCUCGUGGGUUCGACACUCUACUUACAUAUAUUACUUGUGGACUGCGUAUGCUUGCGCGCAAUUUGGCAAUAGCUAAAAUGACCAACAAGUUUUUGGCGCCGUUGCCGGGGAAUUAGUAUUAAUUGUUUCUCAAUAUUAAAACUAAGUCAUUACGAUCUUACUUUAAACUGAUUUUUCUGUUUAAUUCUCUUUUCAGGUAGUCUUCACCGUUUAUGCCACCUCGGAAGGGUCGGAACAUAACGCCUCUCGAUCCCGAGGUUAAUAAGAAUCUCAGAACAUACAGACGAGUGAGGAGAGAAGAAUCUAGGGAAUUACCUGCUCCUAUCAUAAUGGCUGAGGAAAUUCAGAAAUCUCUGAGGGAGUAUGCUAUGCCCCGCAUUGACGAUCUUCAGGCGAGCAUUCUAAGGCCUGCCAUCCAAGCUAAUAAUUUCGAGAUCAAGCCGGGAACCAUUCAAAUGUGCACCAACAUUCAGUUUGGGGGACUACCGAAUGAUGAUCCCAAUGAUCACUUGAUUAAUUUUGUGGAGAUUUGUGACACAUUUAAAUGCAACGGAGUGUCUGACGAUGCCAUCAGACUCCGGUUGUUUCCAUUUACAUUAAGGGACAAGGCCAAGAGCUGGCUUCAUUCAUUACCACCAGGCUCCAUUACCACAUGGGCUGACAUGGCACAGAAAUUUGUGGCAAAGUUUUUCCCGCCCGCCAAAAUAGCCAGGCUCAGGCAUGAUAUAACGUCAUUUGUUCAGUUCGAAUCUGAAUCCUUAUACGACUCGUGGGAGCGCUGUAAGGAUCUUCUAAGGAAAUGCCCACACCAUGGAUUGCCAGAAUGGUUACCCAUCCAGACCUUUUACAAUGGGUUAUCUGGAUCAACUCGAUCGAGUAUUGAUGCCACGUCUAGAGGGGCAUUCAUGGCCAAACAUCACACGGCGGGUUACGAGCUGGUGGAAACAAUGGUGGCCAAUAAUUACCAAUGGCCAAAUAAUAGGCAAACCCCGAGGAAAGUAGCAGGGGUCUAUGAAGUUGACUCUUUCACUUCGUUAGCAGCUCAGGUAACAGUGCUAACAAAAAGGCUAGAUACAAUGGGACCUACAACGGUUCAAAGUGUGCAAAGUGUAGGGAUGCAAUGUGAAUUAUGUCAAGGAAGCCACCCUACUGAUCAGUGUUCGAUAAGCCCUGAGUUAGUUAAAUUUGUGUCCAACUACGGGCGACAACAAAAUACAAAUCUUCCCACGCACUAUCACCCUGGCCUAAGAAAUCAUCCAAACUUCUCAUGGGGCAACAACAACAACAACAACAACAGUAACUAGGGCUGAGAAAGUAACCAAAUUAGAACUGAAACUGCACCAAAAACCGCAUGAACUGCACCAAUUAAAACCGCACCAAUGGUUCCGGCGUAUGUGGCAGUUUUAGGUGGGUUAAAUAACCAAAUUUAUGGUUUCGGUUUGGUUACUAGCCAAAACCGCACGCAUAAAACCGAAACCACACCAUGUGUAUGUAUGUAUUAUCUCUAGUAAAUUCUAAAGUUACUUUUCACUUGAACACGCUCAGAGAAAACUCCAGUCUUGCAUUGUCAUUUUUUCACCAAUUGAAAGAAGAUGUUAGAGGUUAUAGAGUCAAAAAUUAAGCAAUUGAGUUUUGGAAUUUCGAAUUUGUUUGAUGCGUUAUUGGAGGGACUUAUAGCUGAGGGUCUCGAGCACUUGAUGCAUUAGUUAAUGUCAAUGCUAUAAUAGUAAUAGUCUAAUAGAUUAUUUUUCAAAUUAGGUAUAGUUAGGAUUAUAUUCUAUAAGUCGUCCCUGCAAUAUAUGAGAUAGAAUUUUAUUCUAUCUCUAGUAUAUACUUUUAAUUUUUGGGGAACUAGAUAAACAUUCUUGCUUAUUAUCGAAUAUAUGGUCUCCAUUGUUUUAUAUAGCAUAUGUUUUAGUUUUAAAGCAUUCUUAAUAUAAUUCCCAUUGCCGACUUUGUUACUAAGUUAAUUGCUCGAUGUAAGUUUUAUGUUAAAUUUUAUUGAAGGCUUAGACUUUUUCGUUGUUCCAAUUGGUUUUGGAACCGAAACCGCACCAAUUAAAACCGCACCGCACACUUUAAAAUCACACCGCACCAAUCACAAGCGGUUUCGGGUGCAGUUUUGAAUUUUUCAAACCGCACCUAAGCGGUUUCGGGUGCGGUUUGGACUUCAAACCGCACCAUGCUCACCCCUAAUAGUAACAACCCCAACCAACCACAACCUUCAUCUACCAGGCCGAAUUAUGCUAACCCUCCUGGUUUCCCAUCUCAGAAUCAGUUCACCCCACAGCAUCAGAACACUCACAAUCAAUUCCACCAACCACCUCCUCAACAGGAGAAGAAGCCAAGUUUAGAAGAUCUCCUGUCAAGGUACAUAGCCCAGAAUGAAACUCGAAGUUACAAUCAAGAAGCUUCCAUUCGAAAUCUUGAGGUACAGAUGGGAUAACUGGCUAAUGCUUUAAACAGUCGUCCACAAGGCACCUUGCCCAGUGACACUGAUGUCAACCCGAAACGAGAAGGCAAGGAACAGUGUAAGGCAGUGACCCUUAGAAGCGGGAGAACUACUAAGGAACAAAGUGGAGAGAAUGCUCCUGUGGAAGAAUUAGUAACUGAAAAGGAACCUCCAGUGGAGGAGAAUACUAAGACACUAGUGGAUGAAGGAAGUACACACGAUAGCCCGGAAACACCAUCUCCUCCCGUGAGAUUGGUAAAUCAGCCUCUCCCUCAGUUGCCUUUCCCCCAGCGACUUCAGAAACAUAAGCUGGAUAAGCAGUUUUCCAAAUUCUUGGAGGUGUUCAAAAGACUGCACAUAAAUAUCCCAUUUGCAGAGGCACUGGAGGGAAUGCCUAGCUACGUCAAGUUCAUGAAAGACAUUCUGUCCAAGAAGCGAAAAAUGGGAGACUACGAAACUGUGGCAUUGACAGAAGAGUGUAGUGCCAUCCUUCAAAAUAAAAUCCCACAAAAGCUAAAGGAUCCGGGGAGCUUCACUAUUCCGUGCACUAUUGGGGACCAGUUUAUUGGCAAGGCUCUUUGUGAUUUAGGGGCAAGCAUCAACUUGAUGCCCCUCUCUAUUUACAAGAAGUUGGGCCUCAAGGAAGCCAAGCCUACCAGCGUCACCUUACAAUUGGCUGACAGGUCUCUAACAUACCCGAAGGGAAUUAUGGAGGAUGUGCUAGUGAAGGUUGACAAGUUCAUAUUUCCGGCGGAUUUCAUAGUCCUUGAUUUUGAGGAGGAUAGGGAGGUCCCAAUAAUAUUGGGAAGGCCGUUCUUGGCAACUGGGAGGACCCUGAUCGAUGUCCAAAAAGGGGAGCUAACAAUGAGAGUUCAUGAUCAGGAAGUGACGUUUAAUGUCUUUCGAUCAAUGAAGUAUCCUAAUACACCUGAGGAUUGCUUCCAGAUAAAUACAAUUGACAAUUCAGUGAAGGGGGUAUUCUCAGAAACUUGCAUUCAAGACCCUCUGGAAGCUACUUUGAUUGGGGCCAGUACUAUGGAAGAGCCCUCACAUGUGGAAUGUGCCAUGUGGCUCGAUGAACCUCAAAGAUCGAAGCAAUUCCACCGACAGUUCGAGUCUUUGAAUGAUAAUGAGGCAUCUACUUCCAAGGCUCAGCCGUCAAUCAUCGAGCCUCCAGUCCUUGAGCUUAAACCCUUGCCUGCACACUUGAGGUAUGCUUAUUUAGGAAAUUCAUCUUCAUUACCUGUGAUAAUUUCUGCUUCUCUAACCAAGUGUCAGGAAGAAAAGUUGUUACUUGUGCUCAAGAGGUACAAAACAGCCUUGGGGUGGUCUAUUGCUGAUAUAAAAGGGAUCAGCCCGACUCUAUGCAUGCACAAAAUUCUUUUGGAGGAAGGCUCAAAGCCAUCUAUAGAACAUCAGAGGCGGCUAAAUCCCAUUAUAAAAGAGGUCGUCCGGAAAGAGAUCAUUAAGUUGCUAGAUGCAGGCAUCAUCUACCCCAUCUCUGAUAGCCCUUGGGUUAGUCCAAUCCAGUGUGUGCCCAAGAAAGGCGAGAUGACAGUUGUGUCUAAUGAAAACAACAAACUGAUUCCCACAAAGAUAGUGACCGGGUGGAGAGUGUGAAUGGAUUACAGGAAACUUAACAAAUCAACCUGUAAGGAUCACUUUCCCCUUCCUUUCAUUGAUCAAAUGCUUGACCGGUUGGCUGGGCACCAAUACUAUUGCUUGCUUGAUGGGUACUCGGGGUACAAUCAGAUUUCCAUUGCUCCUGAAGAUUAGGAGAAAAUGAGGUUCACAUGUCCAUAUGGGACUUUUGCCUUUCGAAAAAUGUCGUUCGGCCUCUGUAAUGCUCCUGCAACAUUUCAACGGUGUAUGUGUUAAUCUUCUCUGACAUGGUUGAAAAGACCCUGGAGGUCUUUAUGGACGACUUUUCGGUAUUUGGAAGCUCGUUUGAUAAUUGCUUAACAAAUCUGAUUGUCGUUCUCCACAGAUGUGGCGAAACUAACUUGGUGCUGAAUUGGGAGAAGUGUAACUUCAUGGUUGAAGAGGGCAUUAUUUUGGGUCAUCGAGUUUCUGUAGGAGGGAUCAAAGUGGAUAAGGCAAAGAUAGAUGUGAUCAAUAACCUCCCACCACCCACCACAGUAAAAGGGGUAAGGAGUUUUCUAGGGCAUGCCGGGUUCUACAGAAGAUUUAUCCAGGAUUUCUCGCGCAUCACCAAACCGUUGUGCACUCUUUUGGAAAAGGACCAGCCUUUCCAGUUUGAUGUUGCCUGCUUGAGCGCCUUUGAGUUAUUAAAGACAAGACUUGUCACGGCACCUAUCGUGGUAGCUCCCGACUGGACCUACCCUUUUGAGCUAAUGUACGAUGCAAGUGACUUUGCGAUAGGGGCAGUGUUGGGCCAGAGAAGGGAGAAGGUUUUCCACACUAUCUAUUAUGCCAGCAAGACAUUGACUGAUGCUCAGUUAAAUUAUACCACUACUGAGAAGGAGCUGUUGGCAGUGGUCUAUGCUUUUAAUAAGUUAUGUUCCUACCUCAUUGGAACAAAGGUGAUUGUUUACACUGAUCACUCGGCAAUCAAGUAUUUGAUAGAAAAGAAGGAUGCUAAGCCAAGAUUGAUAAGGUGGGUUCUGCUUCUUCAGGACUUUGACUUGGAAAUCCGGAUAAGAAGGGAAUAGAAAACCAAGUUGCCGAUCACUUGUCAAGAUUGGAAAACACCAUGCCCUCGAAAGACGUUGAAAAGCCAUAAAUGAUUUUUUCCCGGACGAGCAACUUUUUGUGGUUAAUGGCAAGAUACUGUGGUAUGCAGACUUCACAAAUUAUGUUGUUUGCCAAGUUCUUCCCCAAAAUCUGAGUUAUCAACAAAGGAAGUAAUUCCUUAAGGAUGCCAAACAAUAUCUGUGGGAUGAGCCCUUCAUGUUCAAGCAGUGUUCCGAUCAGAUUCUACGUAGAUGUUUGCCUGAAGAAGAAAUUGAAGGUGUGUUACAUCAUUGCCACUCCUCAAACUAUGGGGGUCAUUUUGGAAGUCAACGAACUGCUGCUAAGGUGCUUCAGUCAGGAUUUUAUUGGCCCACCCUAUUCAAGGAUGCACACGCAUAUGUGAUGCACUGCGACAGAUGCCAACGGGUAGGUACUAUAUCAAGACGGCAUGAGUUACCACUGCAGAAUAUCCUGGAAGUUGAGUUAUUUGAUGUAUGAGGAGUCGACUUUAUGGGACCAUUCCCAUCCUCUUUUAACAAUCUCUACAUCCUUGUGGCAGUGGAUUAUGUCUCAAAGUGGGUGAAAGCAGUUGCCUUGCCGACUAAUGAUGCUAAGGUGGUGCUUCAGUUCCUAAAGAAGAAUAUUUUCACCCGUUUUGGCACACCUCGGGCUAUCAUCAGCGAUGAGGGGUCGCACUUUUGUACAAAUACUUUGAAGCCCUCCUAGCCAAGUAUGGGGUGACUCAUAAGAUCGCCACUGCCUACCACCCACAGACCAGCGGUCAAGCUGAAAUUUCGAAUCGGGAGGUGAAACGAAUCUUGGAAAAGAUUGUGAACCCAAACCGUAAAGACUGGUCUAAGAAGCUUGAUGGUGCAUUAUGGGCCUACCGCACAGCUUAUAAAACGCCUAUCAGAAUGUCUCUGUAUAGGCUUGUUUAUGGUAAGGCAUGUCAUCUCCCAGUUGAAUUAGAGCACAACUCAUACUGGGCCAUUCAAAAGCUCAAUUUUGAUCUUGAGGCAGUCGGCGAAAAGCGACUAUUUCAACUGAAUGAAUCAGAUGAGUUUCGUCUGCAAGCGUAUAAAAACGCUAAGUUGUACAAGGAGAAGACCAAGAGGUGGCAUGAUAAGAAAAUCUUGGAUAGACACUUUGAACCGGGCAAGAAGGUCCUUCUUUUCAAUUCCCGACUAAAGUUAUUUCCUGGGAAGCUAAAGUCCCAAUGGUCGGGCCCCUUCACAGUUGCCAAGGUUUAUCCAUAUGGGGCAAUAGAGGUUGAGGACCCGAAUUUCGACACAACCUUUAAGGUCAAUGGGCAGAGGUUAAAACACUACUGGGGCGGUGAGGUAGACCGGCAAAACACCUCUAUUACACUUGGAAACCCGGUGUAAGACGGGGUACUAGUCAAGCCGACGACUCUAAAUCAAGCACUUGAUGGGAGGCACCCCAUAUCAGUAUCAAACAACUUGUUUUAUCUUUAAUUUCUUAUAUUUCAGUUGGUAAUUCAAUUUUUGUUUUAGUCUGUGUUUUGUACAGAGUGUGUCUGUCUGUGUUAGGUUCUUUGUUUGUGCUAAGUUUGUGUCUCUUUAGGUUACUGGCUGAUAUGUUAAGUUGGUUCUGCAGAGUUGCUGGUUUUCUUUUCUUCUUUCGAACGCUAGAGUCCGCGCCCCGUCGCCGUCUUUCGCGCCCCAGCGCCACUCUCCGCGCCCCGGCGCCAGACCUCGCGCCCCAGCGCCAUGUGAUUUGAGAGUACACUGCAAACUCGCGCCCCGGCGCCAUGAAUUACACUGAGUUUUGCGCCCCAGCGCCAGCAUGGGUUUGACCCUGCACCCCGGCGCCAUGCGUCACGCCCCAGCGCGACUUAUCGCGCUCCGACGCCAAACUCAGCGCCCCGACGCCACGAGCGUUUUCCAGCAUUUAAAUGAAGUGUUUUACACUUUAUUACUCAGUCAUUCCUCUCUCUCUCUCUCGCAUCGCGAAGCGGCACAGUAGUUCAUCUCCUAACUGUUCAGUUCAUCUCCCAACAGUUCAUCUCCCAACCGUUCAGUUCAUCUCCCAACCGUUCGUACCGUUUGGCCACCCAACGGUUCCAUCUUCCUUUGUCGCCUGUUUGCCUAUAAAACCCAAGCCAGAUACGGUAAGUUUCCCAACUAUUUCGCUUGCACAGUAAUAGCUACAUAUAACUGCAGCAAUGGCUCCUAAGCGUCCUCAAACUAGUGUUGGGCCUCCUCCUUCUUCAUCCUGAGCGCCUGUUACGGCAUGGGAUGCCGUCAAAUUUCUAACUGAGGAAGCCUAUAAGCGGUAUACCCAAAAUUUUCUGCUGCGCACCCCAAUGCCUGAGCGAGGCCUUCGCCCUGAUGAGCAAGAUGGCCAAAUGAAUGCCAUGAUUAGCGCCAUGAAAUGGGUGCACUUCACCAAGCCCCCGGAAUCUGUCGUGGUUGCUGUAGUGAAAGAAUUUUAUGCCAACGCCAUUCCUGAAGGCCCUCCGGCGGCACCAGUGAGGGGGAAGUUGAUCCCGUUCGAUGCCAAGGCUAUUAAUUAAGUGUAUGGGACUCCUAAUUUUAAUGGGCGCGACUAUGGGGAGAAUGGGAUUAGGAGCUAUCAGUCGGACGAAAUUAUUGCCAAAUUGUGUAAGCCUGGGACAAUGUGGAAGACUAAUGAGUACACGGCUGAAAAGACUUCAUUUCCCCAGCAGGCCCUUAGCCGUUACGGCAAGGCGUGGUAUGCCUUCAUUUGCUCUAAUAUCCAGCCUACACGCCAUGUCAGUGACGUAACCAGGGAAAGGGCGACUUUGCUCUAUGCGAUAGUUUCGGGGCUUAAAAUUGAUGUUGGGUCCCUAAUCAAUGAAUCAAUCAAGAAAGCUAUCAAUAGCAAGGUUAUGUCGGGCCUCCCACACCCUUCUCUUAUCACCCGUCUUUGCAAGAGGGCGGGUGUUCAAUGGGAGAAUGAAGACGUGACAUUGCCUCCUAUGUCUGUAAUUGACCAUCAUCUAAUCAGCCGUUACGCAUUUUGGGAGGGAGUGCCAUCACAUCCCCAUGGAGAAGGAUUCUUGCCAGCACCACCGCCAUCCGAUGCGCCACAACCAUCCACUGCGGCCGGAGCCUCCACCAGCACGACGGUUCCUCCUUCUGUCGAGGCCGUGGAUCCUGGGACCCUUGCUCAGAUUUUGAACAGUUUAGAUUUCCUGCACUGCAAGGUUGAUACUGUGGCCCAAUGGCAGAGCCAGUUUCACCAUUACCAUGUGGAGUUUGCCAACACACUCGCCAACAUUCAUGCCGCUCAAGGAGGCGAGGAUGCAGAUUUCAUGCCUUUUCCAUUUCCCGCUCCUCCAAUGUAUGUUUCCUAUCCUCCACAAUUUCCGCUGCCUACUGAGGCGGUCCGAGCAAGUGAGCCAGUCAAUGUGGAUGAUGAUGGCGAUGAUGAUGAUGAUUUUGAGCUAUUCGGCAUGGAUGAGGAUCUUGAAGGCGGUGAUAGUGAUCAUGGCGGUGAUGACGCUGCUGCUUAAGACUAUUUCUACAGAGGCCAGUGAGGACACGGGUCAAAGUUCUAGUUUGGGGGAGACUUCCUUUUAUUUAUUUAUAUAUGAACUGUGUUAGUUUCUAUUAUUGUUAUUUCAAAUGUUUCAACUGCUAUGUAAGGAUGUUAGGAUGGUAUUAGGGCGUGAUUGCCCGUGACUCAUGGUUUGAAUAUUUAUAUAUCUAUUGUGUUUAUUAUCGUGGUUUAUCUUUUGGUUUUGGAUGCAUGCGUUAAUUUAUUUUGGAUGCAGUACUUAGUAGUGGUUUUUGUUCAUAAUAUUUUAUGCUUUUGGUUAUAUAUCUUUAGUUUGGGAGAUGUCUUGGCUAAGUCAAUAUUGUCUCGUUUUAAGCCUUAUAAUUUUUGGGACUUUCACUGAUUAAUUGGUAUACUCGAUGCCAUGUGUGUUGGUUUUGCCCAUUGUUGAUACGAGUAUUCUUUAAUUAAUAUAUAGUUUUUGUGUUUAACUCUAGCCUUGAGUCUGUAACUGUCUAUAUGCUGGGUUAGGGUACUUUAGCGUUAAACUCUUUUUGUGGCCCUUGUCGGACUGUCUAGCUAGUAUAUCAGUUUCCUAGGCUAGUGGCAAAAGGUUAUGCGAAUUUGGGGUUUGUGUUCUAUAAAAUUUGGGACUGUCUUGGAUCCACCCGUUCAAAAAGCACUGGCCUUUUAUCUCUCUAGUAGUUUUCCGGUUUGUGAUCAUCAUUUGUCUAUUGAUAAUAAGUUGUGCUUUUGUAUAUUCUGUUAUUUCAAGUUUUAAAGACUUUGUUGCUUUAGCAUUCUCGGCUCUUUAGUAAAAAAAAAAGAGAGAAAAAAAAAGGAAAAAAAAAGAUAAUAAAAAAAAUUCAGUCCUGCGGUGGGUUGAGAUGGAGCGUGGAAACGCACUCGCCCAUAAACGCAGGCUCGUAAAUUCUAUUUUGGACUUGUGUUGUUUACGUGGCCUUUGUGCUUGAGUUAUUAGAUUCGUAGGGGUAUUUUACACCUAGUGCCCUAAAGUCUUCUGGCUUGGGAGUCAUUGAUCAAAAGCUUGCUAAUGAGUGCUCUGUUUUACCUAAAAGUAAACAAGUGUUGUCUAAGUUAGAUUUUGCUUCGUAAUUGUAAAACUUUCGAGCCUUUCAUGCUUUUGCGUUUUGUCUUAUCUCUUGUUAUGUAUAAGAGUUGCAUGGUUGCCUAUUGGUUAUCACGGUCAACUGUAUGAUCUUAAUCUGGGUUAUGGCUAGUGUAGAUAUGUGGUCUUCACACACACACACUAUGGAUCAAUUACAGUCUCAUGAUUUUUAUAAGUCAUUAAGCCCUUGGUUGCAUGCAUUUGGUUCUAUUCUCUGGGAAUGCUAUGGUUUUGCUUAGAGGCCUUGAGGUUAGCCUUUAGGAGUAGUCAUCAGUCUUGCGUCUAUAUGUUGGACUGUUGUUAGUUUGCUUGAGGGCAAGCAAAAGCUUAAGUUUGGGAGUAUUUGAUGAGUGGGAUUUAAACCCGCGAUUUAGUCCUUUUUGUUGCCUAGGUUGUUGCAUGUUUUCAAUCUUUUAUGUAAUUUUUCUAUAUUUAUUUUAGUUCUUGAACGUUCAAAUGAUCUACAGGCUGGUCUUGCAAAUUAUGUAGUUUCUUGGUUAUUUUCCUUUGUUGGCGCCACAACGCCAUGAGUCGCGCCCCAGCGCCAAUACCAGGGCAAAGCUUCUGACCUUUUGCGCUUUGCUUGGCCUGAAUGUCGCGCCCCAGUGCCAUGGCCAGCGCCAACUUCACGCCCCGGCGCCAUCUACGGCGCCCCAACGCUAAUGCCAGGGCAAAGCUUCUGACCUUUUGCGCUUUGCUUGGCCUGUAUGUCGCGCCCCAGCCCCAUGGCCAGCGCCAGCUUCGCGCCCCUGCGCCAUCUACGACGCCCCAGCGCCAUCUUUCGCGCCCUGGCGCUAGUGACAGUGCUUAGGCUCGCGCCGCAGCGCGAGCUCCGGUUCCCAAACAGCAAACUCUUUUAAUGACCUAGAUAAAAGAGGGGGCGUAUAAAUAGAAAGCGAACGCUGCAUUUAAGGAGACCAGAGGAAGACUGCAGCACAACAAGAAAGUACAGCUUAGACUAGGAUUUAAUGGUCUAUUUUUCUAGAAGAGAAAGAAGCUCAUGAAGGGAAGACGAGUUAUUGCACCCAUCAUAUAACUUAGAGUUCUACUCGCGAAGAGAAGAUUUGGUGCAAGAACAUUUCAACAGGGGUUUUCUAUUUCCAAAUAUCUCAUUCCUUGUAUUUGUCUGAUAAUGUGUAAUGUAUUAAAAAUGCGUGUUAGUACCAUAGUUAUGAACUAACUCCAUUUUUAUGAUUGCAAUGUAACCUUCUGAUUUACUUGAUCAACUUUCUCUCUCAUUUUAUAUAAUGAAUCAUUUGGGAUGGGUUGUUGUAUUUUGUAUUUAAUGUCUGAUUGCUUGAUAAAGGAAUUGGUAUUAAUAGUGAUGGAAAUUGAUAAAUGAAUAUUAUUGUCUUUAAAUACAACAACACAUGUUAUGACCAUGACAUUGGAAUGUGUGCAUAAUAUGCUAAAAGGAUAGACAUAUUCUUAUUUGCCUUGUGUGACCUUGAGACUUAGCUUAAUGACAUUGACCUAGUUAGUGUCACCAAUAGACAUUGUGUUCUAGCUAGUUAGGGAUGUGCAUUUGACCUUCGACAGAAGCUUAUGCAUAUUAAUGUUCUCGGUUGGCCAUUCCUUGAUUCGUUUGUAUUAUGGAGAAUUAGAAGAUUAGGUGAAGCAUUAGGGGAGUUGUAAUCCUUUCUUAACUUCCUAGCACAACUACUUCUCUGAAUUUUAUAAUCUUGUUGAAAUAGCUUAACCAACCAUUUUUUACACUCAUUUAGAUAAGAUUAGUAACGAUUUUACCUUAGUAGUUGUUUUCUGUUAAGACUUCGUCCUCGUGGGUUCGACACUCUACUUACAUAUAUUACUUAUGGACCGCGUAUGCUUGCGCGCGAUUUGGCAAUAGCUAAAAUGACCAACAGUUGCCCCAUAGGCAGUGGACGAAUGGACACCAAGCCAUUUAGGACCUCCUCUAAGACACCGGCAGAUACAGUGGUUUUUAUUGGGACACCAAGUUUACUGUAUGUUAGACACAAAAGGAACAAAACUACUAUAUUAUGGCACAAUGGUUUCCAAUAAUAUCACAAUGAGUGAGCAAAAAGAAGAGGUUAGAGAAAAAGGACAAUAGAAAAUGCUAAAUGACAUCAAAGGGAAGAACUAAAAGAUAGUUCUGAAAUUGUAUUGCCUGAAAAGAGCUGCAAACAUGGUAUUAACAGCUCCCAAACUUGAAAGAUCCAGUUCCAAUUCUUGGUUAUCAGAUUCAACAGCCUGGGGAGUGGAAAAUUAUGUUUUGAGUAGCACUUAUCUUCAUAUUAAUGAAUUGAAGAAAAAAUUGAUUAGGCAAUUGUGAAUUCAAAAGUAUUUCCAAUAAAUAAUGAUGGAAUCUACAUUUUUCCUACCUCAAAACCAAAAGUGUCAAACUGACGUCGUUUAUCUGGAUCUGACAAAAUAUUAUACGAAAACGUGACCUCCUUACACAUAUCAGCUUCCUUAGGGUCAUUUGCAUUCUUGUCAGGAUAAACUAUCAUCCAUUUACAUUACAUGCCAAUUAUACAAUCCUUAUUUGGAUAUUCCCAUAUAACAUUAGGUAAUUUAUCCUUAUUUGGCUAGUUCGAGUAGACAAUUUAUCAAACACGUUUUAGGCUUUCCUAAUUACUACCAAACAAGAUAUACAAUAAAAUACACAAAUAAUAUUAGGUUUCUUAACAGUAAAUACACAAAAUUAAAAACUAACCUUUAAUUUAGGGACAACAAAGGAAAAGGAGGAGGAGGAGGAGGAGGAGGAGGAGGAGGAGGAGGAGGAAAGAACACUCUGUAGCCAAAGAUAUCCCCAAAAAUGGAUGAUUUCUCGCCCUAAUCUUUCUGUUAGAACAAUUAGACCAAGCAUCAUUUGUCAUCUGUAUUCUCAUGAUUCAUUAAAUUAAAUCCUAAAUGUUAACUGUUUAAAUUCCUUAAAUAGUUAGGGUUUCAAAAUACCCACAUCAAUUUCAGAAUUAAUUCAGUGAAAUUUCUUAUAAAAAUAAAAUGAGGGUUUGGAGGGACUCACGUAAGAAAUGAAAUGGAAAAAAAAAGUGCAGAUCGACGAAUAAAGAGGGCGAUGUACAAACCUGCACCAACAAGAAUGGUGAGCUUCCCGGGAGGAAGGCUAUCGCCAGGUAAACAAUAGCUCAGAGAGAAUCUUUGCAGACAACUAAAACAUCGAAGUGCAGAAAUUCAAAAAAUCGCUUUCUUUGUCAGCUUUGGAUCCUCUAGCCAUCAACUCGUCCACAUAUUCCAGCGAUUUAUCACGUUUUGUUGUUGCUACUGCAAGAGAUGACCAUGAUUUAAGAAACCACGAGUGAAAGGCUACUCAAGUGAAAUUUGGGGUGCAUAAUUACCCUACCGCUCUAAGAUAAAACUUGGGCGGGACAGAG